Molecule: non-coding RNA, 934 nt
Organism: Peromyscus maniculatus bairdii (prairie deer mouse)
Lineage: Eukaryota; Metazoa; Chordata; Mammalia; Rodentia; Cricetidae
Source: RefSeq, a predicted model, not a curated record
UACCGGUCCUGAUGAGGUGGGCUCAGAGUUUUGGAGCCCUUCCUUGGCAAUUGCCAUACUCAAGUGAGAGGCACGAUCAUCAGCAGAGCGGAGCAUGGGGCAGUGAACACACUAUGCUAGAAAACGAAGACCAGAGAGCCGCACCAGGAUCAGAACAAAGGCAGAGGUGUUUUCGUCACGAGGCACUCCAAUGUUUCAGUCCAAGUUCCACCACUGAGGAAUUGAGAGUAUGAGCAAGCUUCACCUGACAUGAGCGUGGUCUCCUGAGCUGGUGAGAAGACCCCAAAGGCCACGCCCCCACCAAGAAGUUCUCCGGGAAGCAGGGAAUGUAGACCUCCCCACCUGCAAUUUCACCAUGCCAGCAAGCACACUUGCCAUGCCAAGCUCAUCUCAGGAGGUCCACCGUGUCGACAUGGAUGGAGCAGAGGACCAGGGAUGGAAAUGGGCAGAGACUAUUCAGUCAAGAAUCCUGAGACAUGCUGAGCUGUGUGAGGCAUGAGGCAUGCCCUGUGCUCUUCUCCCUGUGGCUGUGGGGACAUGCAGAAGGCACAAGGCUGCAGCUUUUGUCCCAUGAGAGUGACUCCGGGAAAUGAAGUCUGAGCAAGAAGAACCCCCCGAGACUGACUAGAUUCUAGUGAAAUGGAAGGACCACUUUAAACAGGAAUUUCUUGCGGCUUCAUCCUGUUCGAUGUAAAUAUUGCAUGUCUUGGUUACUUUUCUAUCACCGUGAAAUAAACACCACGACCAAAGGCAACUUAUGAAGAAGAAGAAGAAGAAGAAGAAGAAGAAGAAGAAGAAGAAGAAGAAGAAGAAGAAGAAGAAGAAGAAGAAGAAGAAGUUGUUUAUUGGGGGCUUGCUUACAGUUUCAAGAGUACAGGACCAUGGAGGGGGGGUGCGGAGCAUGGCAGCAGGCAGGAGUGUUGAUUGAGCUUUA